GCUUGGAUGGAUUUUACCAAACUGUAGCAUACUCAGUGCUUAGGGCUGCGUUUACUGCUCUGCUCCCAGACCCUGCAAAAUUCUCCAUUAACGUCCUUCCGUUGCAUCCUCUACCCUCCCCAGCCAUCCGACCUUGGGACUAGGGAAACGUGGACUUGGUGGGCUAUUCUGCGCUGAAGAGGCAGCAACGAGGGCUCGGUGGUAUUGGUGUUGGUCCUAGUGGAAUUGUCAAGAGGAUGCUUUUGAAGACCUGAUGCCUGGAGGUACAGCAGCCAUCUUGUGACCAUAAGGAGGAAAUCAACGCAUUAAGAAGGGAAAAGCUAAGAAGAUACAGAGAGCAGGGACCACUGACAACAUGAUCAAGCCACUCUACCAGGCCUUAACUUCCUAUUCCCUGACUUCUUAUUGAAAGAGACAAUAAAACUUCUCAUUUGUUUUAACCCAUAGAAGUAAGGCAUUCUGUUACUUAUGGGUGAACACAAUUCUUAACUGAUGCCAUGGUUUAAUGGGAGUAGGGAUCCUGGUAUGACAGGAAAUUGAGAUAAUCAGUUUAUGGCUAGUGUAGCAGCUCCAAGACACGAUUAAUGUCCCAAGCUCUUUUGCCCUCCUGACUUGCUAGCCUCAGUAUGUGGAUUUUGUUCUCCCAGUCUGAAGGCAUAACUUUUGGGGAAGAGUAAAAGAAGCCCUCUCCAGAGAUCUGCUACAUCUCAUUGGCCAGAACUCUAACAUUUGGCCGCCACUACCUAGUUGCAAGUGAAUCUGAGAAGGUGAGUGUUUUUUCAUUUCAGGCUUUAUGAAAUAGAAAGGCAAAGGAAGGGGGGUUUGAGCAGCCUUUGAACAGCCAGUUCACGUUUUUGCUAUACUGCUCUAGUCAGGUUUUCUAUUACCAGCAGCCUAAUACAAUUUCCAGGUGCCCCAAGUUGUGCUGACAACUUGGUGUAUAAGAGAGACAG
RNAcentral lists this long non-coding RNA (953 nucleotides) under Homo sapiens (human). Its description in RNAcentral is "HSALNT0298607". Lineage: Eukaryota; Metazoa; Chordata; Mammalia; Primates; Hominidae. The record is from RNAcentral.